Long non-coding RNA from Cyprinus carpio carpio, 573 nucleotides. Lineage: Eukaryota; Metazoa; Chordata; Actinopteri; Cypriniformes; Cyprinidae. The record is from Ensembl.
AAAAAUUCAAAAAUGUCGGACGUUAGCGGAGUCGGUGCGUUGACGGGGCAAUAUGCUUUCAAAUGGACCAAGGAACAAACGGAGGCGUUCAUACGUCUCCGUUUAGAAAACAAGCAGCUGUUUACCGGGGGGAGAGACACCGCGGCGAACGGAUAUCGGAAUGUAAGUGUCCUGCCACAGGUCAAGGGACAGAGGAUGGCAAGGCGACGGCAGCAAAUUGGCCCUGGUUUGCCCUCAUGGACGAGGCAUUAGGGCAGUCUGCAGCAGUCUCGCCCCCUUGCCUUAGUGCCUCGAUCCAAGAGGAAAAACCAGGGCCAAGCACUGCACAAGAGGUAGAUGAAGGGAGAGGCGAGGAUGAGGAGACAGUAAGAGACAAGAGCAAAGAGAGAGCAGGGCACAGAGGAGAGAAGAGGAGAAGGGAGCGAGAGGAUCCAAUCCUACAGCUUCUAAAAGAGGAUAUUAAAUACCAGAGGGAGGCAGAUGAGAGAAGGGAAGCAGAGGCCAGAGAGAGGUCAAACCGCUUUUUUUUGCUGUUGGAGAGGUUGGCGGAAAAAUAAAGUCAAUUAAAUUGAA